Pseudophryne corroboree (corroboree frog) is the source of this 599-nucleotide long non-coding RNA. RefSeq lists it as uncharacterized. The record is from RefSeq and is a predicted model, not a curated record. NCBI's taxonomy places the organism in Eukaryota, Metazoa, Chordata, Amphibia, Anura, Myobatrachidae. The transcript has 3 exons.
UGUGCAUAGUGCAGGAAACCAGACCAUUGUCUACCUUGUUCCACAACUUCACUAAAUAAAGAAGAAAAGAUGUGUAAAGGAUCAUCAAAAUCUCCUAAAGUUAAGGGCCUUAAAGAGGAGUGCUGCAGGAAUCAAUGAAGAUUGUCCAGGACUGUUUUUAAAUGAUUCAUACCAAUAUAUGCGCCAACUAUGAUCAUAUUAUAUGUGAGCAGCUGAAACAGACUGUUGAGCCUCCGUUUUGGACUGUACUGUGUGUGCCUGAAUAAACCAACUUUCCUUUUACCUUGGACUGCGAGUGAUCUUCUCUGUCAAGAGGGAAGUUCUUUUAAAUCUACCCACUAAAGAAGUGAUUACCAAGAGGGAAGAACCGUGAAGAAGGGGGAAGAAUAAAUGCUAGAGAGUGGGAUCGAGAAGACAAUAAGAGGGGAAGGCAAAGGAAAUCUGAGAAGUGAGUUUAAUAAGAAAGCAGUUGAUACAGUGAAGACCAGAUCAGUGCUAUUGAUAUAUAACAGUCUAAUAUAUGGCCCAAUUGGUUGUUUUUUUUUUAAAUUAAAUUACUUUUUGUGCUAUAACUAUACAUUUUGAUUUCAUUGUUAAGA